AACGAACGCUGGCGGCAUGCCUAACACAUGCAAGUCGAACGAGACCUUCGGGUCUAGUGGCGCACGUGUGCGUAACGCGUGGUAACCUACCCUUAGGUUCGGAAUAACUCACCGUAGGAGGUGCUAAUACCGGUUAAUGUCUUCGGACCAAGGAUUUAUCGCCGUGGGGUGGGCGCGCGUUGGAUUAGCUAGUUGGUAGGGUAAAAGCCUACCAAGGCGACGAUGCAUAGCUGGUCGGAGAGGAUGAUCAGUCACACUGGGACUGAGACACGGCCCAGCCUCCGACGGGGAGCAGCAGUGGGGAAUAUUGGACGAGGGGCGAAAGCCUGAUCCAGCAAUGUCGCGGGAGUGAUGAAGGCGUUAGGGUUGUAAAGCUCUUUUACCCGGGAUGAUAAUGACAGUACCGGGAGAAUAAGCUCCGGCUAACUCCGUG
This 433-nucleotide ribosomal RNA is filed under the name uncultured bacterium. Its description in RNAcentral is "partial 16S ribosomal RNA". It matches the Rfam family "Bacterial small subunit ribosomal RNA", at positions 29 to 507 of the family's 1533-position model. The record is from RNAcentral.